GUUUUCUUUAAAUUUCAUUCCCUUUCCAAACACUUUUUAAUAUCAGGCAACUACCAAGUUUUAUAAAAAAAAUUUCGUUUCCUUUGGAAUCCCAAAGAGGGCUUUUCCCCCCCUUCAAAAAACCAAAAACAAACUCUUUCUUUUUGGGUAUCUAUGUUGUUUGCAAGCCAAAAGAAAAAUUCUGACUUGAAUUAUUAACCAUUUUUGUUCAAUGAUGAUCCUUCCGCAGGUUCACCUACGGAAA
RNAcentral lists this unclassified non-coding RNA (244 nucleotides) under uncultured fungus. RNAcentral describes it as "sequence contains ITS1". The record is from RNAcentral. Lineage: Eukaryota; Fungi.